RNAcentral lists this ribosomal RNA (235 nucleotides) under uncultured bacterium. Its description in RNAcentral is "partial 16S ribosomal RNA". It matches the Rfam family "Bacterial small subunit ribosomal RNA", at positions 96 to 334 of the family's 1533-position model. The record is from RNAcentral.
UGGCGGACGGGUGAGUAAUGUCUAGGAAACUGCCCGAUGGAGGGGGAUAACUACUGGAAACGGUAGCUAAUACCGCAUAACGUCGCAAGACCAAAGAGGGGGACCUUAGGGCCUCUUGCCAUCGGAUGUGCCCAGAUGGGAUUAGCUAGUAGGUGGGGUAAUGGCUCACCUAGGCGACGAUCCCUAGCUGGUCUGAGAGGAUGACCAGCCACACUGGAACUGAGACACGGUCCAG